RNAcentral lists this transfer RNA (72 nucleotides) under Candidatus Nealsonbacteria bacterium CG08_land_8_20_14_0_20_43_11. RNAcentral's name for it is "tRNA-Thr". It matches the Rfam family "tRNA". Rfam says of the family: Transfer RNA (tRNA) molecules are approximately 80 nucleotides in length. Their secondary structure includes four short double-helical elements and three loops (D, anti-codon, and T loops). The record is from RNAcentral. Lineage: Bacteria; Candidatus Nealsoniibacteriota.
GCUGGGGUAGCUCAAUAGGAGAGCAUUGGUUUUGUAAACCAAAGGUUGCGAGUGCAAGCCUCGCCCUCAGCU